GCGUUGUUUCCAUCGCUCUACCAUGCAGUCGACGCUGAGCUCAGCUUGCUGGGUGGAUGAGUGGCGAACGGGUGAGUAACACGUGGGUAAUCUGCCCUGUACUCUGGGAUAAGCCUGGGAAACUGGGUCUAAUACCGGAUAGGACACAUCACCGCAUGGUGGUGUGUGGAAAGUUCCGGCGGUACAGGUUGAGCCCGCGGCCUAUCAGCUUGUUGGUGGGGUGAUGGCCUACCAAGGCGACGACGGGUAGCCGGCCUGAGAGGGUGACCGGCCACACUGGGACUGAGACACGGCCCAGACUCCUACGGGAGGCAGCAGUGGGGAAUAUUGCACAAUGGGCGCAAGCCUGAUGCAGCGACGCCGCGUGGGGGAUGACGGCCUUCGGGUUGUAAACCCCUUUCGCCCGGGACGAAGCGAAAGUGACGGUACCGGGAGAAGAAGCACCGGCCAACUACGUGCCAGCAGCCGCGGUAAUACGUAGGGUGCAAGCGUUGUCCGGAAUUAUUGGGCGUAAAGAGCUCGUAGGCGGUGUGUCACGUCUGCCGUGAAAACCUGCGGCUUAACCGUGGGCGUGCGGUGGAUACGGGCAUCACUUGAGUUCGGUAGGGGAGACUGGAAUUCCUGGUGUAGCGGUGGAAUGCGCAGAUAUCAGGAGGAACACCGGUGGCGAAGGCGGGUCUCUGGGCCGAAACUGACGCUGAGGAGCGAAAGCGUGGGGAGCGAACAGGAUUAGAUACCCUGGUAGUCCACGCCGUAAACGUUGGGCGCUAGGUGUGGGGCGCUGUUCACGUGUCCCGUGCCGUAGCUAACGCAUUAAGCGCCCCGCCUGGGAGUACGGCCGCAAGGCUAAAACUCAAAGGAAAUUGACGGGGGCCCGCACAAGCGGCGGAGCAUGUGGAUUAAUUCGAUGCAACGCGAAGAACCUUACCUUGGCUUGACAUGCAUCCAGACGACUCCAGAGAUGGGGUUCCCUUGGUG
RNAcentral lists this ribosomal RNA (978 nucleotides) under Saccharomonospora xinjiangensis. RNAcentral describes it as "bacterial SSU rRNA". It matches the Rfam family "Bacterial small subunit ribosomal RNA", at positions 33 to 1022 of the family's 1533-position model. The record is from RNAcentral. Lineage: Bacteria; Bacillati; Actinomycetota; Actinomycetes; Pseudonocardiales; Pseudonocardiaceae.